UGGAUAUCGUCUGCUGGUCAGUUCUUGAAGCUUUUAAUUACUGAUCUUACUUCGAAACUAUCCCUGUUCCCACCCACAACGCUUUUAAGAACGUUGGCUACAUCGUCAAGUUUAAUGGAGAAAAUUACAGUGAUUAUCGAUCUGAAUUUCUGUCCAAGAUGGAACAACUUGGGAUGAAGACCAUGAUUAAUGCACCAGAAGGAAGAGUUGAAAUACUCCCUACAGAAGUGAGAAACGACAAUAUACGUGACAAACAAGACCUGGGCAACAUUGCAGUAACUCACGUGCCCGGAAAGGAUGAACCUGCUGACAUGUUCACCAAGCCAUUAUUACCAAGACCUGCGUUUAAAAAAAUUUUUUUCGUGAACUCAUUGGAAUCCAAUCAGCCACGGAGUAAACAAUUUUUCUUUAACGGGUUGUGAAUGAAAAUAAAUUUUCGGUCAUGUAUGGAAUGACUGAAUCACAGCUAUAAUACAAAAUAUUUGACAUGCA
Daphnia pulicaria is the source of this 492-nucleotide long non-coding RNA. RefSeq lists it as uncharacterized. Lineage: Eukaryota; Metazoa; Arthropoda; Branchiopoda; Diplostraca; Daphniidae. The record is from RefSeq and is a predicted model, not a curated record. The transcript is spliced from 3 exons.